AGUAACGUCGUUGCAAUGUUCGACUACGAACUCUGUAUUGUUUAGUUUAUUAGAAUAACAAAACAAAAAACAUCUGAGUACGCGAUCUUCGGAAAUCUUUUUGUUCUCGGUAUAUAAAAAUUAUAAAGUUGCGCAAAGAAGAAUUAUGUGUGAUUAAUAUUGUCAAUUUUCAUGUAAUGAAAAUGAGUGAGUUCAACAAGUGAUUACCACAAAACCAAAUAAACAUUUUUAUAUCUAUCGUAUUGAAUUGUGAAAAUUAUCUACACAAUGCGUUUUGUAUAAGCUGUUUUUAUAAAAUGAAUACCUCAGAUCGUUUGUCUGGAUCGACCCAAUCGUUUGUCUGGAUCGACCCGAUGACUUUAUCGUCUCUGAACGCCGUCUCUACAUAAACCAAAAAAAAGCAGACUGGCUCGGCUUCAAAGAAUUCACUGAUCGCAUUUUUAAUGAUCUCCCAGCUCCUAGCAACGUACUCCAAGCUGAGAGCAAGUUCCGCGAAACUGUCAUCGCAGCAGCAGCCCGCUUUAUUCCUGCUGGUCGACUAUCCAUAGUGCGGCCGCAUAUCCCAGCAGAGGCAGCGAGACUAGGAGACGAGCGCCAUGACCUCCGAAAUAUCAACCCCGACAACCCACGUAUUGUCCAGCAGAAUUACGAUAGCAGCAGGUUGGUAAAUGAGGACAAGCGGAAUAAAUGGUUAGAUCAUUUGAAGAACUGCAAAUUAAGCUCAGGUGUAAGUAAGUUGUGGUCUACAGUUCGGUCACUCUCCAACCCGACGAAGAUGGAUGACAGGGUCGCGAUUAAUAUUGCAGAUACCACUAUUUCCGAGCCUGAACUGUGCUUGCGUGUAUUUCGCCGACUUUAUAUUGAGCACCCAGAGAGAUAAGGCGAAACGAAGUGUUGUUCGCAAACUUCACAGCCUUCCAGUCUCCGACAUUCAACAACCUUUCACCCCUUCUGAAGUUGCAGAGGCCAUCAAGGCAGCCAAACCAUCUAAGGCAAUGCCUGGAAAAAGGGUAGAGUCAUCCAGAUACCAGGGAAGAACGCGACAGAGGGUCAAUCCUACAAGCCGAUUUCCUUCCUGUCACCAUUCGCGAAGACUCUUGAGGCGCUCCUCCCCCAGCUGUCCAGCAUGGAUUCCGUAAGAUGCACAGCACCACCUCAGCAUUAACCGCCAUAACCACUCAGACCUCACAAGGCUUAAACCAGCAGAGGCCUUGUGAAAGGACGCUCCUUGUGGCGCCUUCGAUACAGUCAGAAAUACCACACUUUUCCAGGACAUCCUGCAGUCCAUCAUGACCAACAACUUGAAGAGAUGGAUUGUAAAUUAUAUGAGUGGCCGUCAGUCGUUCGUUGAGUUUAGAGACAAAUGUUCCAAAACCUGUAAAGUUAAACAGGGAGUACCACGUGGGCGGCGUCUUAUCCCCCCAUUGUUUAACUUUCACCUCUCUAAACUGCCCACACCUCCACAAGGUGUGGAAGUUAUAUCUUAUGCGGCCGACUGUAACAUUAUGACGACGGGCCAAAAGCGUUGAUGAGCUAUGCGAUCGAGUGAAUGGUAAUCUCGGAGUAAUACACAACUUCUUCACUGGACGUAACCUGAAACUAUCACCAGCGAAGUCUUCAGCUACACUUUACACCACCUGGACGAAGGAGGUAAACUUGAACCUAGGCGUCGUAGGCGACGGAAACCAAAUACAGACUCUGAACCACCCAAAGAUUUUGGGGGUCACUUUUGACAGCAUGUUUACUUCCUUAGAUCAUGCCACUGCAAUUACGCACAAAUUGCGAGGAAACGAAGGUCCUCCCAGUCAAGGAACAUAAUGUCAUGCUGACUAAACAGUUCCUCCUGGGAUGUCACCGGAGGAGUCAAAAAAAAAAAAUACACAACUCAAUGGAGCCAACAGCAUCCAAAUAUUCAAAACAGAAUACACAGCUGAAUAAAACCAAAUACAUCCACGCAACUGUACAUCUUUUUUCAAUUCACAGUUUUGUUGUUGCUUUUUUAACAAAGCAUGAAAAAACAUGUCUUUU
This 2028-nucleotide long non-coding RNA is filed under the name Lucilia cuprina (Australian sheep blowfly). Its description in RNAcentral is "uncharacterized LOC124419430". The record is from RNAcentral. Lineage: Eukaryota; Metazoa; Arthropoda; Insecta; Diptera; Calliphoridae.